This 1589-nucleotide long non-coding RNA is filed under the name Nicotiana tabacum (common tobacco). Its description in RNAcentral is "long non-coding RNA (NTAB_LNC015103)". The record is from RNAcentral. Lineage: Eukaryota; Viridiplantae; Streptophyta; Magnoliopsida; Solanales; Solanaceae.
CGCGACAGUACAUAAAAGUUGCAAAACAUAAAACAAGAAAGUACUAAAUAGGCGAAGUAUAAGAUCCAAAUGCAAAUAAACAUAAGAGCUCAUUCUUCAUCUUCCUCGUCUCCGUCGCCACCAGAUGCCUUCUUUGCAGCAGCCUUUUGGUUCUUUCUCUUCACUCUUCCAGGGCGCCCACCACCAAAAGGACUGAUGAGAGAGAAGUCAAUGUGCUUCUGGGAGUCCAGUCUCACCAUAAAAGAAGGAACAUUCACCACCUGCCUACCAACUCUGCAUGACAAGAUUAUUAGGUCAUGGCGUUAUAUCUGCCAGACAGAUAAAUGAUACUAGCCCACAGUGAAAGAAAUCUGAGAAAACCCAAAAUGCGCAGACCAAGAGAAGUUGUUAAUGUUCACAGCAGUACUAAACAACAGAACAAAUAAUACAUAGACUACUACUUUGUAUAAGGAACAGAGUACAUGAUAUAAGAAGGAACACUCACAAAUAAUGCAAUAUAUGACACAACCAACACUUUCUUCCUCUAGCUAAGGAAAAAAAUCUACCAGCUGAAGUUUAAUAACUACAAAUUAGCUUCUACGAACACCUAGAAACACAAACCAUUUUGAGAUGCAUCAACAAACUUACAGUGAGCGAAUAAACAAGAGCUUCUCAAGAAAACAGUCUAGAUAUUUCAAUCAGAUUCCUUAAUGUGGAAGCAAAUAUAACUCUAAAACAGAUAAUAUAUCCUUGUUGAGAUACUAUUCUGACAACUUCUCCUCAAAAAUUCACUGCAAGAAUAUCGGAUCACAGAUUAUUUGCAUUGCAUAGUGCUUCCAAAUAAAGACCUCACUGUUAAAAGAAACAAUCCUAUGAAAUGAGGCUCAGAAGCUUCAUAAGAAUUUUCAUUCCAUUGUUCUCUAAAGAAAAAGUCAAGUGUUCGGUAGAGCACUUGAAAAAAAAAAAGCCAAGACCUCAACCAGCACCUUCGAGAAAAGCACAUCUAUAAAAAUAAUUAUCACCCGAACAUCAUGUUUAUAUUAAAGUUCUUUAGCAAAAAAAAUGUGAGAUAAAUGAUUCUUUUAUAAGGAAUCUCAAAACAAAAAGUUCAUCACAACAGUCCCUCAAAAGGUGUAAUCAAAGGCUAGAUCAGUUGCUAGAUAUUAAAAUGUUGGACUAUCAAACACUUUAUAAAUGCCACAUAUUAUUGCACCAUAGCAGGUAAUUCUAAAAAAAAUAUUCGCUUAGCAGUCCCGCUACCAUACAGUCAGACACAGGAAAUAUCAGGAAAAAACAUAUUAAGCCUACUUAUUUGAACUUUGACACUAAAACUGGCAAUAAAUUUUUAGUGGCAAUGAAUUUUACCUGAUAUGCCUUUGCCUAAUUAGUACUCUAGCAUGGUGGAUUGACUUAGCCAUGCCAGUCUUGAAGACAAGAGUUUGAAGACGACGUUCAAGAAAGUUCUCCACAGUGAGAGACAAGACGUAAUCGAGCUUGUUCUGGCUCUCAUCCAAUAACCCAUAUCUAUUCAUCCUCCUCAAGAGUGCUUCACCUUCAAAAAUACGACGUGGGUCUUUCUCAUCCAAAGUCAGAAGCAUUCUUGCAGCAUU